GAUGAACGCUGGCGGCGUGCCUAAUACAUGCAAGUCGAGCGAACGGACGAGGAUCUUGCGGCGUUGACGUUAGGGGCGGAGGGGUGAAUAACACGUGGAAAACCCACCUAUAAGACUGGGAAAACCAGGGGAAACCGGAUCUUACACCGGAGAAGAUCUUGAUGCACAGUGGUGGAAAGUAAAAGACGGCCUUUGUGGCACUUAUAGAUGGAUCCGCGCUGCAUUAGCUAGUUGGUAAGGUAAAGGCUUACCAAGGCAAGGAUGCAUAGCCGGGUUGAGAGACUGAUCGGCCACACUGGAACUGAGACACGGUCCAGACUCCUACGGGAGGCCGCAGUAGGGAAUCUUACGCAAUGGGCGAAAGCCUGACGGAGCAACGCCGCGUGUGUGAUGAAGGUCUUCGGAUCGUAAAGCUCUGUUAUUAGGGAAGAACAGAUGUGUAAGGAAAUGAGGAGAGCUUGACGGUACCUAAUAAGAAAGCCACGGCUAACUACGUG
Molecule: ribosomal RNA, 497 nt
Filed under: uncultured bacterium
Lineage: Bacteria
Description: partial 16S ribosomal RNA
Rfam family: Bacterial small subunit ribosomal RNA
Source: RNAcentral